RNAcentral lists this ribosomal RNA (569 nucleotides) under uncultured Gammaproteobacteria bacterium. Its description in RNAcentral is "bacterial SSU rRNA". It matches the Rfam family "Bacterial small subunit ribosomal RNA", at positions 812 to 1381 of the family's 1533-position model. Lineage: Bacteria; Pseudomonadati; Pseudomonadota; Gammaproteobacteria. The record is from RNAcentral.
UCGACUUGGAGGUUGUGCCCUUGAGGCGUGGCUUCCGGAGCUAACGCGUUAAGUCGACCGCCUGGGGAGUACGGCCGCAAGGUUAAAACUCAAAUGAAUUGACGGGGGCCCGCACAAGCGGUGGAGCAUGUGGUUUAAUUCGAUGCAACGCGAAGAACCUUACCUACUCUUGACAUCCAGAGAACUUUCCAGAGAUGGAUUGGUGCCUUCGGGAACUCUGAGACAGGUGCUGCAUGGCUGUCGUCAGCUCGUGUUGUGAAAUGUUGGGUUAAGUCCCGCAACGAGCGCAACCCUUAUCCUUUGUUGCCAGCGGUCCGGCCGGGAACUCAAAGGAGACUGCCAGUGAUAAACUGGAGGAAGGUGGGGAUGACGUCAAGUCAUCAUGGCCCUUACGAGUAGGGCUACACACGUGCUACAAUGGCGCAUACAAAGAGAAGCGACCUCGCGAGAGCAAGCGGACCUCAUAAAGUGCGUCGUAGUCCGGAUUGGAGUCUGCAACUCGACUCCAUGAAGUCGGAAUCGCUAGUAAUCGUAGAUCAGAAUGCUACGGUGAAUACGUUCCCGGGCCU